Molecule: RNA transcript, 3852 nt
Organism: Manihot esculenta (cassava)
Lineage: Eukaryota; Viridiplantae; Streptophyta; Magnoliopsida; Malpighiales; Euphorbiaceae
Gene name: mitotic spindle checkpoint protein MAD1
Exons: 9
Source: RefSeq, a predicted model, not a curated record
CUUUCAAAAUUAAAACCCAUUCCAUUUUGCUAAGCAUCCAGCGAUUGUGUUGUUACAAGUGGAAACUUUGAAACCCUAGAAAAUUUUGAGAGAUACAGAGUGCUAGAGAGAGCUAAAAGAGGAUGAUUCUCAGAACUCCACAGCCAAAGAGACCUAGAGACGAUGCCAAAGCCAUCGAGAGCCCGCCUAUCGGUUCCGAUCGUCGGCUUGUUAUUUACGAAGACCCUGUCGUUCAAUUGCCGGAGUCCUCUCACGAGCCUCAACCGUCCGAUCACAUGCUCUGCACCUACCAGUGUCGCCAAAUGGUUAAAUCAGAUUUUCUGGAUGCCUUGAGCAAUGCAGAGAAGCAAGUUUGUGAUUAUCUAUCUAAAUUGGAGAAUUUAAAUGAGAACUUCUGCAAAGUUGAAGCGGAUAGGAACAAAUUUCGGGAUCAAUUCUUAUAUGCUGAACAGGAACUUGCUGCUGCCAAAGGACGUGAACAGGCCUUGCAACUGCAACUUCUGAAGGAGAUCAAUGAUUCCCAGGAGAGGUUGAAGAAACAAUUAGAAUCAUGCAGCAAACUUGAGAUAAAACUGGAAAAUGAGAAGAACCUUCGGAUAAAAGCUGAAUCCUCAGCAACUUCUGCCGAAGAGAAAGCAAGUCUUUUGGAGGCAAAGCUUUCCCAACUUUCUGAAAGCAUAGACAGGGAGAAAAUGCGCCUCAAUAAUGAGCUUGCACAGCUGCAAAGAGAUUCAAAGCUUUCUGUUUCCAGGAUAACUGCAGAUCUUGAAAGAAUGGAAUGCAGAGCUAAAAAUGCUGAGAAGGAAUCAGAGCUACUCAAGGAGCAGCUAGGAAAUCUAAAAUUGCAACUAAAUGAGUGCUUGCACCAGAAGAGUGAACUGGAGAAGAAACUAUCAAGUUUAACAAUUCCAGGAGGUGCGUCUACAGAGAGCAAUAUUUUAGUUAAACAUCUCCAAGACGAGCUCAGGAACUAUGAGUCUGAAGUGAGAGAAGCGAGAAAAUUGAAAGCAUCUUAUGAAAACAUUGAGUUAUUAAAGGAGAAAUUAUUGGAAGAAAAAAGCCGCAAAGAGAGGGCAGAGUCGGAGUUAUCCAAGUUACGAGAAUUUGAGCUAAAUAUGAGGAAGUUGGAAGAUGAGUUGUCUUCUUGGAAGUCAAUGCUAAAAAAGAUCCCUGAUGUGUCUUGCUGUGACGAUAUACCUCUCAAGUUUUCAGCAUUACAAAAAGAGGUGAUUGAUAACAUGAUGAAGGUGGGUGAGGCAAAUGCGCGGUUGAAACAAAUAGAGGUGGCUCUGGAUGCUGCCCAACUUGGCAAACAAAAUGCUGAAGCUGAGGCUGCAUUGGCUAAAGAGAAGGCAGAAAGCUUGAAAUUGGAGGUCAAUCGGAUUGAAUUGAUGGUAAGUGUUGGUUUAGGCGGUUUGGCUGCCAAAGUCUCUUAUGCCACGUCUAAUGUCGUUUAUAAGAUCCCCAGGGUCCCACUAUGUUUGGCAGUUUAAUUGUUUUUUAUUGUAAAUUAAAAAAAGGAUGCUUUUCAGUUACUGGCGAAUUAAAAUUAAACAAAGAUCUCAACCACGCGCGUCCUGGAUUUAAUCGAGCAUUAAUUGGCGCGUGUAAUCACGAGAAAUAUUUUCGUCGGGGCAUUGCUGCUUGAAUUUUAAUUGCGGUGCUUUGCCGUGUUUGCCUUGCUGAACACGUUCGUUAAAAUCGAAACUAUAAAUGCCCGUCUCUGCUUUAAAUCAUCCUUCUCCUCUCCUCUCCUCUCCUCUCAAUCUCGCUUUCGGUUAUAUUAGCUUGAUUCUUGCUCUCCUUCUCUGCAAUUUCCUGGGCUUUUACUUUGCAGUUCUGUUGCUCUCUUCUCGCGUUCAUUUGUUUGCUGGGAAACAGCUCGAAAAAGUGUUAAGGCAUUGAAAGAAUCGUUCUUGACAGGUUACUUUCGUUUUCUAUUGAUUCUCGCCUACCAAAUCGUUUCUCUGGCUUCAUCUGGUUUACUUGCCAUCGCUGAUUUUUUGCAUUGUUGUUAUGAAGGUGCUGCAUUGCUCUUUGAAGAUUACUUUGGGGAUUCGUAUUUUGAUUUUCCUUUUGUUUUAUAGCUCCAGAAAGGGUUAAUUGCUAUAGCUAUGGAUCAUUCUGCAGGACACCCACAUAGUAGUCUUCUUUCUUCUCUCUCUCUCUCAUCUUUUUGGAAAAGAUGAGGGCUUUUCUCUUUCUACUCUUGAACCCAAUAUUUCGACCUUCUCAUGCUCAAAGAUUAAUGCUUUCAAGAAUGUAGAAAGAGAGAAAGCACUAAAGUUGAGCUUUAAUGGUAGAGCUUGUCUCCCUCAUUACCACCUGAGCAAAAACAAAGAGUAUUGCCUUUAAUUGCUGCCAGCUAAAAUCUGUAGUAAUUAGUUAGUGUUAUUAAGCAAGAAAAGGAAAUAUCACUUGAUAGUACAUUAACGAUGAAGUUGGAGGUCAUGUAUCUAGCGAUAAUGAUAGGAUCCUCUCCCCUCUUUCAAAUACUCGAGAGGAAUGGGCAAUAAACCCCGCAAGGAAUUGAAAAAUUAUACGGAGAAUACAGAACACAUCAAUGAAGGUUUUGAGCACACAAGCAGUAGUUUUCAACUUUUUGUCCAAGUCGAGGCAUUUAUUCUCGCCAUCAAUCACUGGGAUGUGAAAGAACAAAGGCUCUAUGGACACAUCAACCAUGCAGGCCGGCACACAUAUUUUGUUCCAUUUCUAGAGAAAUGGGCCCUGUGGUUCAAGAAUUUUCUUUCUUGUGCCAGAUGCUUUUGGUGGCUGAGAAAGAUUUAUGAUUUUCUUUUAGGGAAAAGUCCCGCCCACUUGACGGAAGGGAUAAUGGGAGCAAAUGGAUUGUGUUAUUUCUGUUUACUGGAGGGCUUAAAUGAACUAAAAAAUUUGUUAGGAACUUAAGUAGAUAUUUGGAUAUUUGUUAGGGUUUUAAAAAGGCCUUUUGCCUUUAUUUUGUGACAACUGUAUUUACUUCCUUUUGCCUUUUAAUCUACUUAAAUAAUAGAAUUCAAUUAUAUGUUUGUUUGCCUUCCAGAAAGAGUGCCACCAUGGGAAUUGGAACCGAGGAACGUGCGGGCAAAAACUAGCUCUACUGGGGUUACUUCUCAAAUAAGACCUUCUAAAGCUGAGUGUUCCAUUGUUUAUGAACAGGGGGAGGGAGGAACUGAAAAGGAAGGUGAGACUGAGGUGGCGAUUCAGAGUCAAGAUACAGAACAGCUUGGUCUUGCUUCAGCUGAACAUCCAAUUCUUCCGGAGUUUCUUACUUCAUUUGAUUCUUCUUUGUUUGGUGAUACAUCUGAAGAUUUUUAUGAAGAUUUUUAUGGUUUUCCGUUGCUAAAAUCUCAUGCUUCUGACCUUAACAAAAUAUACUGCAUUGAGGGAAAAUUUUGGGAGAAUUGCAUGCUUGAGAGAGCUAAUACAAUAGCAGCAAUGCUGGGAGAACUUGGUUCUGCACUUUCAUUGAAGGAAAAAACAUGGAUGUCAAUGAGUCCUGAUGAGUUAACGACCAUAAUCCAAAGCGUUGGGGAUGCUUUGAAAGUUGGAUUCAAACUUGAUUGUCUAAAGCCUGUUUUAGAGAAAGCUAAAACAGUGUUGUGGUCUUUCAAGACUCGUUGCCGGUUGGAGGCAUUACAGAAGGAAAAAAAUUUUCUAGAAACUCAACUUCAGUCUGUAAUUUCUCAGAUACAAUCUCUUGAACUAGAGCUUAUAUCUAACUCUGAAGGACUUGAUUUAGAAUGUAGAUGUUUAGCUAGUAUCUUUAGUUGAUAUCGAUUAGGAGUGUGUUUGGACCCAACUUACAGGAAAUUUGGUGAAAUAUUAUGAAAAGGGGAAAGGACAUUGAAAUCA